ACGGCGCUCCCGGCCCAGCGAAGCCCGGGAGCGGGCGGCAGAGCUGGGAGGCACGAGCUGGGCCCUGCGGCUGCAGUCUCAGACAACUUGCACGUCUUGGACUUCACUGCACCCGGAGUUAGGAGGCCUAGGUCAAGUCAUAGCCCUGACCCUUGCUGGGAGUGACCUCGGACAAGUCACUGGUCCCUGAGCCCCGGAUCUCUGAAAAGUCACAGCGCUGGCCUCUGCUCCUCCAGCUCUUCGUUCCUCAUCAGAAACCUCCCAGGUCCUUAACUGGCUCUUGUUGGACAUAUGAAUGUUGGAGAU
This is a non-coding RNA of Kogia breviceps (pygmy sperm whale), 306 nucleotides long. NCBI's taxonomy places the organism in Eukaryota, Metazoa, Chordata, Mammalia, Artiodactyla, Physeteridae. The record is from RefSeq and is a predicted model, not a curated record.